GAUGAACGCUGGCGGCGUGCCUAAUACAUGCAAGUCGAGCGAACAGAUAAGGAGCUUGCUCCUUUGACGUUAGCGGCGGACGGGUGAGUAACACGUGGAUAACCUACCUAUAAGACUGUGAUAACUUCGGGAAACCGGAGCUAAUACCGGAUAACAUAUUGAACCGCAUGGUUCAAUAGUGAAAGGCGGCUUUGCUGUCACUUAUAGAUGGAUCCGCGCCGUAUUGGCUAGUUGGUAAGGUAACGGCUUACCAAGGCAACGAUACGUAGCCGACCGGAGAGGGUGAUCGGCCACACUGGAACUGAGACACGGUCCAGACUCCUACGGGAGGCAGCAGUAGGGAAUCUUCCGCAAUGGGCGAAAGCCUGACGGAGCAACGCCGCGUGAGUGAUGAAGGUCUUCGGAUCGUAAAACUCUGUUAUCAGGGAAGAACAAAUGUGUAAGUAACUGUGCUCAUCUUGACGGUACCUGAUCAGAAAGCCACGGCUAACUACGUGCCAGCAGCCGCGGUAA
This 513-nucleotide ribosomal RNA is filed under the name uncultured bacterium. Its description in RNAcentral is "partial 16S ribosomal RNA". It matches the Rfam family "Bacterial small subunit ribosomal RNA", at positions 28 to 523 of the family's 1533-position model. The record is from RNAcentral.